Molecule: transfer RNA, 71 nt
Filed under: Sulfitobacter phage phiCB2047-B
Lineage: Duplodnaviria; Heunggongvirae; Uroviricota; Caudoviricetes; Schitoviridae
Rfam family: tRNA
About the family: Transfer RNA (tRNA) molecules are approximately 80 nucleotides in length. Their secondary structure includes four short double-helical elements and three loops (D, anti-codon, and T loops).
Source: Rfam by way of RNAcentral
UGCGCGUUGGUGUAAUGGUAACACAUUUGGUUCAUGCCCAUAGGCUGAGGGUUCGAUUCCCUCACUCGCAA